Molecule: ribosomal RNA, 464 nt
Filed under: uncultured bacterium
Lineage: Bacteria
Description: partial 16S ribosomal RNA
Rfam family: Bacterial small subunit ribosomal RNA
Source: RNAcentral
GACGAACGCUGGCGGCGUGCUUAACACAUGCAAGUCGAACGGAAAGGCCCUGCUUGCAGGGUACUCGAGUGGCGAACGGGUGAGUAACACGUGGGUGAUCUGCCCUGCACUUCGGAUAAGCUUGGGAAACUGGGUCUAAUACCGGAUAGGAACCAUCUUUAGUGUGGUGGUUGGAAAGUUUUUUCGGUGUAGGAUGAGCUCGCGGCCUAUCAGCUUGUUGGUGGGGUAAUGGCCUACCAAGGCGGCGACGGGUAGCCGGCCUGAGAGGGUGUACGGCCACAGUGGGACUGAGAUACGGCCCAGACUCCUACGGGAGGCAGCAGUGGGGAAUAUUGCACAAUGGGCGCAAGCCUGAUGCAGCGACGCCGCGUGGGGGAUGAAGGCCUUCGGGUUGUAAACUCCUUUCGCUAGGGACGAAGCUUUUUGUGACGGUACCUAGAUAAGAAGCACCGGCUAACUACGUG